RNAcentral lists this ribosomal RNA (504 nucleotides) under uncultured bacterium. Its description in RNAcentral is "partial 16S ribosomal RNA". It matches the Rfam family "Bacterial small subunit ribosomal RNA", at positions 30 to 523 of the family's 1533-position model. The record is from RNAcentral.
AUUGAACGCUGGCGGCAGGCCUAACACAUGCAAGUCGAACGGUAGCACAGAGAGCUUGCUCUCGGGUGACGAGUGGCGGACGGGUGAGUAACGUCUGGGAAACUGCCCGAUGGAGGGGGAUAACUACUGGAAACGGUAGCUAAUACCGCAUAACGUCGCAAGACCAAAGUGGGGGACCUUCGGGCCUCACACCAUCGGAGGUGCCCAGAUGGGAUUAGCUAGUAGGUGGGGUAAUGGCUCACCUAGGCGACGAUCCCUAGCUGGUCUGAGAGGAUGACCAGCCACACUGGAACUGAGACACGGUCCAGACUCCUACGGGAGGCAGCAGUGGGGAAUAUUGCACAAUGGGCGCAAGCCUGAUGCAGCCAUGCCGCGUGUAUGAAGAAGGCCUUCGGGUUGUAAAGUACUUUCAGCGGGGAGGAAGGCGGUGAAGUUAAUAACUUCACCGAUUGACGUUACCCGCAGAAGAAGCACCGGCUAACUCCGUGCCAGCCGCCGCUGUAA